GCUGGGCAUGGUGGCACAUGCCUGUAAUCCCAGCUACUUGAGAGGCUGAGGCAGGAGAAUUGCUUGAGCCCAGGAGAUGGAGGUUGCAGUGAGCCGAGAUCGUGCCACUGCACUCUAGCCUGAGCGACAGAGCGAGACUCUGUCUCAA
RNAcentral lists this non-coding RNA (148 nucleotides) under Pan troglodytes (chimpanzee). Lineage: Eukaryota; Metazoa; Chordata; Mammalia; Primates; Hominidae. The record is from Rfam by way of RNAcentral.